This 207-nucleotide ribosomal RNA is filed under the name uncultured bacterium. Its description in RNAcentral is "partial 16S ribosomal RNA". It matches the Rfam family "Bacterial small subunit ribosomal RNA", at positions 568 to 774 of the family's 1533-position model. The record is from RNAcentral.
UGUGUAGGCGGUAUAUCAAGUUGGGAGUGAAAUCCCGGGGCUCAACCUCGGAACUGCUCUCAAAACUGAUAUACUAGAGACAGGUAUGGGGUAAUGGAAUUCCUAGUGUAGGGGUGAAAUCCGUAGAUAUUAGGAGGAACACCAGAGGCGAAGGCGAUUACCUGGACCUUGUCUGACGCUGAGACACGAAAGCGUGGGUAGCAAACA